AUGGCGGGAGGCAGUGAGGCUAGGGGCGGGGAGUGCGGCUACUACACGACGGACGACGCGCUCUCCCAGGUGGGCUUCGGGAGGUUCCAGGCGCUGGUGCUGGCCUACGCCGGCGUGGGCUGGACCGCGGAGGCCAUGGAGAUCAUGAUGCUGUCCUUCGUCGGCCCGUCCGUGAAGGACGAGUGGGGAAUCUCGGGCCAGCAGGAGGGGCUCAUCACCAGCGUCGUCUUCGCCGGGAUGAUCAUCGGGGGCUUCCUCGGGGGCGUCAUCUCGGACUCGUAUGGCAGAAGGAUUGGUUUUCUAUUCACCGCGGUUGUCACUGGCAUAUUUGGUUUUCUCAGUGCUUUGUCACCUAACUACAUGUGCCUAUUAACCCUCCGCUUUAUUGUCGGUAUGGGAUUGGGUGCUGGUCAUGUUCUUGGUACAUGGUUCCUAGAGUUUGUUCCUGCUGCAAACAGGGGUACUUGGGUGGUUGUCUUCCAUUGUACUUGGACUUUUGGAACAAUCCUUCAGGCUCUUAUUGCAUGGGCUAUCAUGCCAGUACUUGGAUGGAGGUGGUUGAUAGCGUUGUCUUCAACACCAUGUUUCAUUCUGCUUAUUUUCUAUGGUAUAACACCUGAAUCACCACGGUACCUCUGCUCAAGAGGUAGAACAGCUGAUGCUCAAUUUAUUUUGGAGAGAAUAGCAAUAAUGAACAACAUGGCUCUGCCCUCUGGCACCUUAAUAGUUGCCCCACAAAGAAGGUCUGAUGAUGUUGUUGAUGCGGAGACAAUAGUACCGCUGAUUCUUUCACAAGAUAGUGCUGCAACUGACGUUUGCAUGAGCUCCUCUAUAUCCAGAUCUAUUAAUGCAUUCCGUACACUUGUGUCACGAAGCCUGAUUAGAUCUACACUUCUUCUUUGGUUUGUCUACUUUGCCUUUUGUUUUGCUUACUAUGGUAUAGUAUUGCUAACAUCGGAACUAAGCAAUGGUGGAAGGAGAUGUGGACCUGUUGGAAUGCAUUUGUGGCAGCGAAAUGAUGCCAGACUCUACAGAGAUGUCCUGGUGACAAGUAUUGCGGAAUUUCCUGGUCUGAUUUUGGCGGCUCUAUUUGUUGACAAAGUUGGUCGCAAACUGUCAAUGGGAGCGUUUGCUUUUCUGUGCCUUGUUUCCAUCGCACCACUUGCUGCACCUCUAGAAGAAGGUUUAGCAACCGUCCUUCUAUUCAGUGCCCGGACUUGUAUCACAGGAAGUUAUGCUGUUCUCUAUAUUUACGGCCCUGAGAUCUACCCUUCAUCAUGUCGGAACACCGGAGUGGGUGUCGCGACUUCUCUCGGCCGGAUAGGUGGCAUGAUUGCCCCACUCAUAGCUGUAGGAUUGCUAGAGAGCUGUCAUCAGAAAGAAGCUGUGUUUGUCUUCGAUCUUGUACUCUUUCUUGCAUCAGUUGCCUGUGCCCUCUUCCCUCUAGAGACCAAAGGCUGCCAGAUUCAGUAA
RNAcentral lists this ribosomal RNA (1473 nucleotides) under Triticum aestivum (bread wheat). Its description in RNAcentral is "partial small subunit ribosomal RNA". Lineage: Eukaryota; Viridiplantae; Streptophyta; Magnoliopsida; Poales; Poaceae. The record is from RNAcentral.